Molecule: transfer RNA, 67 nt
Filed under: Bothridium pithonis
Lineage: Eukaryota; Metazoa; Platyhelminthes; Cestoda; Diphyllobothriidea; Diphyllobothriidae
Description: tRNA-Pro
Source: RNAcentral
CUUGUCCUAGUUUACAAAGAAUUGUGGUUUUGGGGACCGUAGGUUUCGUUUUAGUCGGAGGGCUUGG